UUUUUUUUUUUUUUUUUUUUUUUUUAAUUCAGUCUGUGUGGCUUGCCAGGGAAACUCAGGCUGUGCAGGUGUGUGCCUGAGAAGUCUUCAUCUGCUAUUCAGGUCUGAAGGGCUCCUGCUCUUGUGUUAGUGAUCUCUGGUGCUUGUGAGACUGUCCAAAUCAAAACUGAGAUAAAAUGCUGGGAUUAAAAAUUGGUCUGUCUGUAACACCAAAAUAGGGCUGAGGGUGGCACUGGCUCUUAAACCACUCCUCUGCCUGGCAGCUGGCAGCUCCAUGGGGAGCACAAAUGCCACUGGAAAGCAGGUGCUUGCCAAUGCUAUGGACCACUGUAGCUGUGACCACCCACCCAUCCUGUGGGAGCUUGGACAGAAGGAAAAAGCCUCUGCCCUGUGGCCAGCAGGAGGAAAAGCUGAAGCCAACCUUUUGUAUCUGUGGUGUUUAAGGCUAAAAAAGACAGGGCUUCUCUUUUUUCUCUUGGCCAGACUCCAGCCUGAAGGUAACUAGCCAGGAUCUAUCUACAAAACCAGAAAAUACUUCAGUCAGACUGUAUUUUCUCUGUUCUCCAAGACCCUUGCUCUCAGUUCAUGUUAGAUGAGAUGUGCUUGUCAUCAACACUUUGACCAGGACUGGUGGGUGUUUCAGAAGUAAUUGUGAUGGAGAGCAGGGUGAGCCUGUCCCAGGGAAAGGAAGAAAGUGUACUAGGAUGAGGGGAGUGUGGGGGGUGCUGCUGGGUUCAGUGCAUGCUUCCCACUCAGGAAACACAACAGAACAGACUAAGGACACUGUUUCACGGUACAGGUACGUGAUAGGAGCGGUAUCUUUUCUAGGAUCACCAAGUACUUCAGUGGUGGCUGCAGCAGAACAUUUCUUGGGAUGUCCCACGUGUGGAUAAACACUUCAUUCAGUAAGUAAUAAAAACCUGCAAUCUGCUGCCACAGGAUGUCACAAAGAUAAGGUUGUGAACCUGCAGAUACCAACUAAUAGAUACUUCCAUGGGCAAAUCCCAAGUUUAUAGGAUAAUGAGAGGUGUAGUCAGUGCUGUGUUUCCUAAUAUCCAAUAUCUAGUAAUUGUGAACACUAGAGAGAGUCGACCUGCAAAUGUACCCUAAACAGAUCCACCUGCCCCUUCUGAAACAGAAUAUUUCUGUGUGCUCCAUGGCCUGACCCACCUAGUAAGUUCUUACUUAAAUGUUGUCAGGCUGGUAGCUAGAAAUGCUCAGAGAACAAAACCAAUACAUGUACAUUCCCUCAACUAAAAAAGUCUUCAAAGUUGAGAAUGAAGAAAACCCUUCCUUUGUUUCACAAAUAGCUGUCAUAUUUACUGCUAUGAACAGUCAGUAAGAAGCCAGCACUCAGUGCAGCACAUGGGAGGAGAUGGCAGCCUUUCCUGCAUACUGAGCAGGACCAGCAGAGAUCAGAGCUGGGCUCUGCCUUUGGGCUUUGAGCUGCAGCCAGCACAUGUGAGACUGUCCCACCCUCCUUAGCUGAUUUCACCUGUGAAGGGGAGCUUUGAAGAGCUAAUUAGUUCCUGCUUGUGCAAAAGGUAUUAUUUGUUCUUAACCUAAACUGCAAGGGCUAGAGAAAAAUCAGGCUUGGAGGACUUGCUUCUGUGUACAUGGAGACAGCUUUAAAAAUAGAUUUCAGCUGGUGAUGGAGCCACAGCUGUGGCUUUUGUGUGUGUAAGGCUUGUGCCUUCAUCACUGAGCCUGUGGAAAAGCAGCAUUGCUGGGGAACAGAGCCUGCUUCAAUGGCCUCCUAGCUGCUUGUCAAACAAUGCCCUCCUGGGAAGCCAUGGAUGCAUUCAUGUGGGAAACACUGAAUUUCACUUUUCCCCUUGAUUGGUUUUUUCGUAGGAUGAGAAACUGAGCAAUGAUCACAGGCCAUGGAGAUUUUAUGGUCUGUUGCCUUGCCUGGAAGUAGAGGUUGGCAUUUUCAGCUGAAGUUAUUACUUGUGAAUAACUUAUAUGGAUCAGAUGGGUAUUCCAAAGAUUUUUGGUGUGCUGUGGAAGAGAGGCCACAGGCUCCCGUGUCUGCAUAUUAUGGGAAUUUCAGCAUAAAAACUUAACUGUAGCGGAGCCCCUCUGAUAAGUAGCUGAUGAGCUGUAAUGGCUCCAUAUGAAAUAUAUGAAUUACGGGAUCUUCCCCCAUGCUAGAACAGCCUGAGACAGAAUCACUUGCUAGAAAACUGGUCAGCUGCAGGGCUCUGGAUUAUAUGGCAAUUGUGGUGUCCUGUGCUGGCCUCCAAGUGGGUGCUUUUGUUUUAUCCAAUAAUGUGUUGUUUGUUGUAGGACAGAAGUAGCUUAGGAGUAUCUUGAUACCUCUCUGGUUAAACAGCUAAUGAGCACAGUGCCUAAAUACGUGACUCUUUAUUCCUGUGCUGCCAGCUGCCACUUCAGGUCACUGCAUAGGCAGUGCCUGGCUGAUACAGCAUUGAGAAUAAGUUCUUUAGAAGGUUUUUUUUUUUUUUUCUCAAAUAUAAUGAAGAAGUGUUGGGGAAGAUAGCGUCCUCGCAAAAAAGAAAAUAAAAAUGUGCAAUCUCCUUCAGCUGGAUCUACAUACUCACCAUGUAAGGUACUUACUGUUUGCAGUUGUGUCAUCUUCAUUCCCACAUGAGGAGAAAAACAGACAAAAAUGGGAUGAGACAUAUGUGCUGGUAGUGGAGAAGCAUUUAGAGUAAAUGAAAAAAGACAUUCACAGAACAUUUCUAACUAGAAGAAGAAAGCAAAUUCACUUUGUCAGAAAAUAAUUUUGAAACCAACAUUCAAAACUAAGAGUUGUUCUAUCAUUUGACUCUCCUUUAAGCUCUCUUGGUGAUUCAGCCCUUCCUGUGCCAAAGCCAUUUAACCUGGCAUCUGGUGCAUGCUCUCCCUGGAAAUGAGUGUCUGAAACUGCAGGUUACACUUUUCAGGAGGGUAGACAUACAUGCAGAUUACUUGUGGAGGGAAACCUAUCAACCACCCCUAUGACCUUAAAGAAAUCUGCCUCAUUUUCCUCUUCUUCUGUAUUUCUCUGCUCUGGUACAAGGAGGAGCAACCUAACCCAGGAAUCCUUCAGGCUGGGAGUUCCUAAGGAAGGAGCUUUGUAACCACCUGGAUUUUGCACUGCUACAAGCACAGAGCUGCCAAGAAAACUGCUGGGAGAGUGGAGGCACAGAGCUGUGAGUUACUUGCAUGUCCAACUUUUCUCCCAUGUGGCACAGAGCAUGUUUUAGUUGAUGGGCCUUUAGAGCCAGGGCUAAUUGCAAAGCCUGAAGGCUGUCUGAGGGCAGGAGGAGGUGGCAGGACUGGGGGUACUGAGCUUAGAUGCGGGUUGUGACAUUUGCUGGCUCAGGCUCCAGGAGUGUCCUGACUUGCUGAACCCUCAGGACAAGCGCUUUGAUAGUACCAAUACCAGAUUCAGGCUUGGUGGGCUGGGGGAGCCCAGGAGUUUCUACAGUGUUUUAGUGUUCAAGUCAUGACUUGAGCUGUGUAUGUGGCCACACCAAGUUUCAGGAGGCAGGUCUCUGGAUAGUAUUCAUCAUCCUCAAAGUUUAGGAGUGUAUGAUGUGGUCAUUUGCACCUAAGCUGCUUGUCUCGCUGCCCUUGAAGACCUAAGAAGAUGCAAUCAAUCACUGGAACCUGUCGAGGAUUUGUCUCAUCCUAAAGUAGAUUUAAUCAUAUAGACUGGACUCUAAUCAGCUAAAAGGAGACUCUGAUGAUAUUUCUCACAAACAAAUCUCUUUAGAUAGGCAGGAUGAUCUGCAUCUGAGAUGCCUCACACUGAGAGUAGGUACAGGCUGAUCCAAACUGAGGCAUUUCUGAACAUCACCACCCAUGGAGAAAAGAAGAGGGAGUGAGGAACAAACUUUCUUAUUUGUGUAUUUUGUUGUCUUCAGCAACUCUACUUCUUAGAUGGAGCCAUUGUUUCUGUGUAAUGCCUGUAUUUGAGGGACCUGUGGAUUUUCACCUUCUCAGGAGCAAAGGCAGCUCCACCUGCUGCUGUUUCAGGGUGGAAUGAGGUGUCCUGUGCAGCACAGCCCUGCUCUGGCAAUGUCCACUUGGUCAUUGUAGCAAUUCCUGUGAAAGUGGUACAGGUUUCCAGCAGGGCUGUUGUGCUUAUUCCUUUACUACAUCUGCGAGUGAACAAGUGAAAGCUGUGUCUAGAGCAGCGAGGCCUGAAAACUAACUGCAGGUCAAGCACUGCAGCAUGCCCAUUCUCAUUCAUCAAAAAUUAAUUUCUCUUUGAAAUGCCUCGUGAAGAAAAGCCAGGUAAAUUAACUUCUCCCCUUCCGAAGUGGCAAGCUAAUUACAGGUACCUAUUUCCAGCUCAAGUCUCCUCCUGAGAUAAAAGGCUGUUGGGUGGGCUGCUCCUAACAUCCUUCAUGAAAACAAAGCGCAGGGAGAAAAAACAGUAAAAGUCUAUUUUUUUCUUUUGCAUGUUCAUGGCCACUCACCCUUGGGGCUUUUCUCUUUGCGUUUGACUGGGAAUAAAGGAGAACUUGAAUCACUGCACAGCAAAAUGCUCUGGGGUCCUCUAACUGCACAAAAAAUGGUAAGAUUUACUUUGAUUCCUUUCUGUAAGAAAAUUUAAAGCCAGAGAAGGCUUUCUUCUUUUUCUUUUCUUGUUCUCUGCUCUCCUCCAGAUUUUUCUGCUUGUCCUUCACUGUAACCUUCAUUUAAUCACGGUUAAGUCUGCCUUCAUAUAAAUAGCAGAUGCUUCUGGGACAUUGUUAUUGUGCUUUCCUGGUUGGCAAUAGUUUGGGCAGCCCUGGCUGCAGUGUUGAGCAAGAUAAAGCUGGCUAAGUAGGAAGCUUUGAGACGCCUCUUGAAUUUGGUUUCCUGCAGCUUUACAUCAAGGAAAGGGCCCUGAUCACUCUUUCUGUAAUAAAGGGAAAUUACAUGGAAGGAGAAAAAAAAUCCUGAUUUCAGAGGACAACUCCCCCCACCCAGCAGUGGUAUUUUUACAUGCCUCCCUUGGCUGACAGAAGCUGAUACUCCAUGGGCACGAGCCUGCACAGAACCAGGGAAUGACAAUUUUUGCCUGGCCUUAUGGAACGUGUAACCCUCUGGGAGCCCGCUGCGGGCGGGGGCAGCAGCUGCUGCUGUUUCUGCAGCAAAGGCGAGGCAGCGCAGAGCAGAUGAGCUGAGCUUCAUGCAUCUCCUGGAGACCUGAGACUUCCUACUCCCUGCUCCUGGUUUUACCACAGUCAGCCUGGUGUGUGGAAUUGCUGCGUGUACAGCAGAUAUCUGUUCCCUCGGUGUUCAGCAGAGGAAAAGAAGCCCCUGUCAGGGCGGUGGUGUGGAUGCCGAGCCCAUUGCAGCUGCAGCAGUGCUACUUAAGCACUGGUUUCCCAGGCACUGGUUUCCCUGCCCACAGCAGGGACUGGGAGGACUCAUGGAAAUGGAGAGGCCAGUAGCAACAAGGUGUAUUCCUGUGAGGAGCAUUGACUUGGUGGACUUUGCUUGUGGGGGCUAGGGCCAAAAGUUAAACCCAGAGAGGUACAGAAAGAAGAAAGCAAACUGCAGCUCAGUUGUGGGUUAAGCCACGGCUGAUGCUGUCUGCUGAAAAGACAGAACUGAAGCUCAAACUGCUGUGAAGAGGUUACUAUUGCAAAUUAAACCCCAGGAGAGAUGGGAAAGUGAUCUUCUGCUCAGCACUGCCUCUCCCUCUGAGCAUUUCAGCUUCUCCUGUUCAGCAGUCCACAACAUCUGUGAGCAAAGGCUAUUUCUGCAGAGACAAGGGUUUAUCAGGAGACACAAAGAGCUUUUGCCCAUGGGAUGGGCAACUACUGAUUUUCUGCUGCUUUGAGAACUGAAGAAAAGGCCUCUACAGCAGCUGGCAGUGUGCAUGCCCAGACUGCGCCCUGAAAUUUUGACCUGAAACUAUCCUUGUUGGUCCUUUGCUCUGGGAAGCCACCCCUAAAUGAUCCUAGCCACUGACCUGGAAGGUGGGGGAUGAAGAUCACCCUGAUCUGAACCCAGUAGCUUUCCAGGAGCUCAAAUCAAUGCCCUGGAGAGGUGUUUCUUCCAAGGUCAGGAAGCUGACUGGCUAUGUCAUCCUCUGCAUAACUCACUGGCACUGAAGGCUAAAUAUUUGGGUUUUGAAUAGAGAAUUAUAUACUUGGGCUUCCAAAAUGAAUCCAACAGCUGGCAAUAUGUCCAGCAUGGUCAGGCUUUGCUCAUGAUGUGAACUCCACUCCAAAUUUAGCUCUAAUUAAAUCAAAGUAAAAUUGUCUCUGGGCAGUACAUCAGAGGCAAAAUAAAGUAGUACAAGUUACUGAGAGUCUGUGCUACCCCUCAUGCAGCCUCCCAGGAAGUCAAACAUCAUUCCUGCUCUAUGUGAAGUCAACAGUCAGUAGGGCUGGAUUAGAUAUUUUUCCUGCUGCUGUUCACGUUUUGCAGGUACUCUCAAGCCUUGGUUUCAAUGCCUCUUCAAGUCAGAAGAAUUUUUGGGAAGGACUUUGCAGCACUAGAUACAGCUGCAGCUUUGCUGUGAUGUUGACAAGCUGCACAGCUAUAUCCAGGCUCUUAGAGAAAGCUGCUGCAUAGGUGUAAUUUGGGUGCAAGUAAAAAAAAUAUAUAUUUUAAAAAAUAACUCAAAUCUGCAUUAUCUAGACAGUCCAUCUCUGAGAUGGGAAAACCUUGUAGCAGAAAAAGGGCUGCAUCGACUUAAGAAAGACACACACAUGCAGCUUUUUAAACUGCCAGUUUAACAGGCUAAGAUGAAUUGAACAGACAUAUUUUGGAGUAGGGAGGAACGUUUUGUGUUGUCUUUGGGGACUGGCAUGACCCUGGCUUUGCCCUGGAAUUGUUACUGUCUACAUGUUGACUAAAGCUGACAUCGUGAGAGGAGAAAUGGCAAGGGAAGGUUAAGAACUACCUUUGGAGAAAAUCCCACAAGCUUCUAAAGCCUUUAGGUUGAGACUGAGGCAUGUUAAGGUACAGCAAGCAGCCUGGAAGUGGAAGUUCAAUAAGGAAAAGCUGAAUUUGGGUCUGAAAAGCUACAGAUGCUUGUCUUGGAGGCAGAGGGAAGAUGUCACUGGUGUGACAACACUCUGAAGAGCUGGUGAAGGGUGUGGGAGGGACACUUCUGAAAUUCAGCCCAGAUGUUCAUGUCAGAGAGUGACAAAAGCUCAGAGAGGGCCUAGACGUUAUGGGGGAUAUGAAGAUGCUGGGUGUACUCUGGCAUCAGAUGAUGCUGUGGGAAGUGGGCAUCUUUCACCCAUAUUGCCUGUGCUGGAGCAGCAGGCAGUGGCUCUGCCAAGGCUGCAGCAGUGCAUUGCUCUGGAAAAGGCAGGAGCUGCACAACCCUGGCUUGCAAGAAAUGGCAGAGGUAGCAGCAGGGGAUUGUGCAGUAUGAAUGAUGGCCUAUUAUUAUGAAUUGGCAAUUUCUCUAAAACCUGCCCAUUUCAAGGAUGGCUUUUGCCUGCUUUUUUUCUCCCUCGCUCAUCAUCCUGAAAGAGGAAGGGUUUUUCUAAUAAACGUGAAACAGUAAUUAAGUUAUGCAGUAAAGAGCCAUGUGUGCUCUGCAUUUGCCACAAGCGUGAGGCAGACUUUUUUCCCACACUGGCCAUGAGACAGUCAUUUCACACUGGCUAUCAACUUGGUUGCCAAACAGCAGUUUCUUGACAACUGCAUGGGGACUUUGCAGCUUGAGGGAGGGGAGCAGAGAGGCUCUGGUUUCCAUUCUGAACCAUUUUGUUUGUCCAGUCCCUUCUUUGUUGUUAGUUGACCUUUUUACAUUUAGCAGGGGAACAAAAUAGAGCACUCUGUGGAAGGAUGCUCCACAGAGUAACCCUGCAUCCCUAGCUGUCCCCUUACAAGGACAUGGUGAGCCAAACCAAGCACUUUACUCUUAAAAGUUUUCAUUGCUCUUAUGCUUCCUGGCAGAGAUGUCUUUCAUUAGCAGCCAAAGACUGGUGGAAGGAGAGCACCAGCCCUGGUAUUUCUCUCUUGUUAUAAAUAAAAGUUCCAAUUUAUUAAUUAAGAAAAUUUAUUAAAUGGUCCAAAUAUAAAUUUAGAGAAUAACAACAAAAAGCCACUAUCAAAAAAAAAAAAAAAA
Molecule: long non-coding RNA, 8041 nt
Filed under: Taeniopygia guttata (zebra finch)
Lineage: Eukaryota; Metazoa; Chordata; Aves; Passeriformes; Estrildidae
Description: lncRNA (ENSTGUG00000025993.1)
Source: RNAcentral